AGAGUUUGAUCAUGGCUCAGGAUGAACGCUGGCGGCGUGCCUAAUACAUGCAAGUCGAACGCUUUGUCUUUAAUUGAUAUGAAGAGCUUGCUCUGAUUUGAUUUUAUCUGACGAAGAGUGGCGAACGGGUGAGUAACACGUGGGUAACCUACCUCUUAGCAGGGGAUAACAUUUGGAAACAAGUGCUAAUACCGUAUAAUACUAACAACCGCAUGGUUGUUAAUUGAAAGAUGGUUCUGCUAUCACUAAGAGAUGGACCCGCGGUGCAUUAGCUAGUUGGUAAGGUAAUGGCUUACCAAGGCGAUGAUGCGUAGCCGAGUUGAGAGACUGAUCGGCCACAAUGGGACUGAGACACGGCCCAUACUCCUACGGGAGGCAGCAGUAGGGAAUCUUCCACAAUGGGCGCAAGCCUGAUGGAGCAACGCCGCGUGUGUGAUGAAGGGUUUCGGCUCGUAAAACACUGUUAUAAGAGAAGAACGACACUGAGAGUAACUGUUCAGUGUGUGACGGUAUCUUAUCAGAAAGGAACGGCUAAAUACGUGCCAGCAGCCGCGGUAAUACGUAUGUUCCAAGCGUUAUCCGGAUUUAUUGGGCGUAAAGCGAGCGCAGACGGUUAUUUAAGUCUGAAGUGAAAGCCCUCAGCUCAACUGAGGAAGGGCUUUGGAAACUGGAUAACUUGAGUGCAGUAGAGGAAAGUGGAACUCCAUGAGUAGCGGUGAAAUGCGUAGAUAUAUGGAAGAACACCGGUGGCGAAAGCGGCUUUCUGGACUGUAACUGACGUUGAGGCUCGAAAGUGUGGGUAGCAAACAGGAUUAGAUACCCUGGUAGUCC
RNAcentral lists this ribosomal RNA (831 nucleotides) under uncultured bacterium. RNAcentral describes it as "bacterial SSU rRNA". It matches the Rfam family "Bacterial small subunit ribosomal RNA", at positions 8 to 796 of the family's 1533-position model. The record is from RNAcentral.